Molecule: ribosomal RNA, 437 nt
Filed under: uncultured bacterium
Lineage: Bacteria
Description: partial 16S ribosomal RNA
Rfam family: Bacterial small subunit ribosomal RNA
Source: RNAcentral
AGCGAACGCUGGCGGCAGGCUUAACACAUGCAAGUCGAGCGGGCAUCCUUGUGGUGUCAGCGGCUGACGGGUGAGUAACGCGUGGGAACGUGCCCUUCGGUUCGGAACAACUCAGGGAAACUUGAGCUAAUACCGGAUACGUGCGAGAGCAGAAAGGUUUAUCUGCCGAAGGAUCGGCCCGCGUCUGAUUAGCUAGUUGGUGAGGUUAUGGCUCACCAAGGCGACGAUCAGUAGCUGGUCUGAGAGGAUGAUCAGCCACACUGGGACUGAGACACGGCCCAGACUCCUACGGGAGGCAGCAGUGGGGGAUAUUGGACAAUGGGGGCAAUCCUGAUCCAGCCAUGCCGCGUGAGUGAUGACGGCAUUAGGGUUGUAAAGCUCUUUUCUUCGGGACGAUAAUGACGGUACCGGAGGAAUAAGCCCCGGCUAACUUCGUG